CAGCCGCCGCGGUAAUACGUAGGGGGCGAGCGUUGUCCGGAAUUAUUGGGCGUAAAGCGCGCGCAGGCGGUCCCUUAAGUCUGAUGUGAAAGCCCACGGCUCAACCGUGGAGGGUCAUUGGAAACUGGGGGACUUGAGUGCAGAAGAGGAGAGCGGAAUUCCACGUGUAGCGGUGAAAUGCGUAGAGAUGUGGAGGAACACCAGUGGCGAAGGCGGCUCUCUGGUCUGUAACUGACGCUGAGGCGCGAAAGCGUGGGCAGCAAACAGGAUUAGAUACCCUGGUAGUCCACGCCGUAAACGAUGAGUGCUAAGUGUUAGAGGGGUUAAACCCUUUAGUGCUGUAGCUAACGCGUUAAGCACUCCGCCUGGGGAGUACGGCCGCAAGGCUGAAACUUAAAGGAAUUGGCGGG
This 410-nucleotide ribosomal RNA is filed under the name uncultured microorganism. Its description in RNAcentral is "bacterial SSU rRNA". It matches the Rfam family "Bacterial small subunit ribosomal RNA", at positions 509 to 917 of the family's 1533-position model. The record is from RNAcentral.